GGAUUUUCUUCACAUGCAGGCCCCCAGGCCCCGCUAUGCCCUCAAUCAGAGCAGCUGAGUUCUUAGUAACUCCUUAAAAUUUUUGUGUUUUUUUUUUCCUGAUGAUUUCAUAAGCCCAUUUGUAUCCCCUGUCUUUGUGUCUGAUGACUCUGACUUGUGAAUACUGCCUACCCCUUGGAGAACUUUCUGGUAUCUUAUGGAGCCUCACUGAAUUCUAACGCUAGAAUAAUUGGACUUUAAAAAACCUAUCCCAAACAUACUCUAGUACUAAAACUGUCUGUGAAAACCACCUACGGGAGGAAAAUGGAUGUCAGCUGAGGAAGAUGUUGAAGUUACCUAGUGCUAAGCUCUGCGGGGUACCAGGCAUCAAGUCACAGAGGUGGCCAGACGUGUGAUGUCAGAAAGCACAAUAGGGACCAGGAGCCUGUGGUCAGCACCGUAAGCGCAGUGGGAGAGAAGCCAGUCGGAAGACGGUGAAGACUACGUGGUGUCGGAUCGCCCCAGACACAUCCCCUGCGCUGUAGUGCGACUCUCUGUAUGAUGCUGCUUGCUGCCCGUUCAGCCUGGACCUGAUCCAAGAGGUGGUUUAGCCGAACCACCAGGACUUCACAUGUUGCCUGUAAGGCAGUUCCCCAGUGUGGCUCCUGUCGCUGGCGUU
Molecule: long non-coding RNA, 658 nt
Filed under: Neogale vison (American mink)
Lineage: Eukaryota; Metazoa; Chordata; Mammalia; Carnivora; Mustelidae
Description: Neovison vison (American mink) lncRNA (ENSNVIG00000003500.1)
Source: RNAcentral